RNAcentral lists this ribosomal RNA (519 nucleotides) under Oncomelania hupensis hupensis. RNAcentral's name for it is "partial large subunit ribosomal RNA". It matches the Rfam family "Bacterial large subunit ribosomal RNA", at positions 1812 to 2606 of the family's 2925-position model. Lineage: Eukaryota; Metazoa; Mollusca; Gastropoda; Littorinimorpha; Pomatiopsidae. The record is from RNAcentral.
AACAUGGCUCUUUGAGAUUUAUAUAUAAAGAGUCGGGCCUGCCCAGUGAUGUAUUUUUAACGGCCGCGGUACUCUGACCGUGCGAAGGUAGCAUAAUCAUUUGCCCUAUAAUUGAGGGCUAGUAUGAAUGGUUUGACAUGAGCAUAACUGUCUCCUUAAAAUUUUAUAAAAUUUGGUUUUUAGGUGAAGAAACCUAAAUUAAAUUGAAAGACAAGAAGACCCUAUCGAGCUUUAGAAUAAUUAGUUAAAAAAUAUAAAUAAAACAAUUAAUUUUAAUUAAAAACUUUGGUUGGGGCGACUGAGGAACAUAUAAAGCUUCCUUAAUUAAACAAUGCUGAUAAGCAAUGAUCCAGGAAAUCUGAUUAAAAAAAUUAGUUACCGUAGGGAUAACAGCAUAAUCUUUUUUGAGAGCUCUUAUCGAAAAAAAGGUUUGUGACCUCGAUGUUGGACUAGGAUAUCCUAAAGAUGUAGAAGUCUUUAAUGGUUGCUCUGUUCGAGCAUAAAAAUCCUACGUGAUCU